RNAcentral lists this ribosomal RNA (827 nucleotides) under uncultured bacterium. RNAcentral describes it as "bacterial SSU rRNA". It matches the Rfam family "Bacterial small subunit ribosomal RNA", at positions 27 to 877 of the family's 1533-position model. The record is from RNAcentral.
GAAUGAACGUUGGCGGCGUGGAUUAGGCAUGCAAGUCGUACGUGUACCCGCAAGGGGAAAGUGGCGAAAGGGAGAGGAAUACGUGGGUACCAACCUUCUGGUCGGGGAUAGCGGCGGGAAACUGCCAUUAAUACCCGAUAACGUCUGCGGACCAAAGGUGUGAUUCCGCCGGAAGACGGGCCCGCGUCCUAUUAGCUAGUUGGUGGGGUAAUGGCCUACCAAGGCAAUGAUGGGUAUGGGGCGUGAGAGCGUGCCCCCACUCACUGGGACUGAGACACUGCCCAGACACCUACGGGUGGCUGCAGUCGAGGAUCUUCGGCAAUGGGCGCAAGCCUGACCGAGCGACGCCGCGUGUGGGAUGAAGGCCUUCGGGUUGUAAACCACUGUCGUAGGGGAGGAAGGCCGUGUGCAGAGCACGGUUUGACCGAUCCUAGGAGGAAGUCCAGGCUAACCUCGUGCCAGCAGCCGCGGUAAGACGAGGUGGACAAACGUUAUUCGGAUUUACUGGGCUUAAAGCGUGCGUAGGCGGCUCAGAAAGUUGGGUGUGAAAGCCCUCGGCUCAACCGAGGAAUUGCGCUCAAAACUACUGAGCUUGAGGGAGAUAGGGGAGAGCGGAACUGAUGGUGGAGCGGUGAAAUGCGUUGAUAUCAUCAGGAACACCGGUGGCGAAGGCGGCUCUCUGGAUCUCUUCUGACGCUGAGGCACGAAAGCUAGGGGAGCAAACGGGAUUAGAUACCCCGGUAGUCCUAGCCUUAAACGAUGAGCACUAGGUCGGAGACCCUCACAGGUUUCUGGCCGUAGCGAAAGUGUUAAGUGCUCCGCCUGGG